Molecule: long non-coding RNA, 400 nt
Filed under: Elaeis guineensis (African oil palm)
Lineage: Eukaryota; Viridiplantae; Streptophyta; Magnoliopsida; Arecales; Arecaceae
Description: long non-coding RNA (EGUI_LNC008459)
Source: RNAcentral
GUUUUGAGGUGCGACAGCUUUUGAAUAAGAAUUGCAUUACACUUGAACCGGACAUAGAACAGGGCCAUAACGCCGUAGUCCAGUCCUUGAUCAUGUUCGAUGCUCCACCUCCGCAUCAUUUUUCCCAAGUGAUCCUACAGAUCCCAUUGUUGUGGAAUAAGCAUUUCAUGAUUGAAUAAAGCAAUUCACCAUUGUUGUGGAAUACAUAAAAAUUAUGGACCGAGAACACUGCCUUCGCAUCCACCAUCUCCACACAGGCAAAGGCUGCUGCAACACAUUGAUAUAUCAUUUAAAAGAUGAAGCAAAAGAAAGCAAAUGCAUCCUGUUAUUGGUUCUGAUUCAAGAGACGUCGAAGCAUGGGCUUCGAAUCAUAGAACAAUAUUUAAAAAUUUUAUAUGAA